This is a long non-coding RNA of Sitophilus oryzae (rice weevil), 1424 nucleotides long. RefSeq lists it as uncharacterized. NCBI's taxonomy places the organism in Eukaryota, Metazoa, Arthropoda, Insecta, Coleoptera, Curculionidae. The transcript is spliced from 2 exons. The record is from RefSeq and is a predicted model, not a curated record.
UGUAUGGAGUCUAAAAGGAGGAGGCGAAUCGAACGCAAAAAUUAUGGGCCCAGUUUUUGAGAUCUAAAUGAAGUUCGAAAAUCGCCGUUAGGGGCGCUUGUGAUGAUUGGGAUACUAGAAAUACACAGCUUCUUAUGGCAAGAAUAACUAUUUUGUUAUAAAUUAUAGAGCCAAGUUAAUAUUUGGGCAUAUUUUUACCAGAGUUAGCUUUUAGAAACGUGGUUUUUCUAAUUGAGCAAUGUGCGUGGCUAAAAUUGUGAAUACAAAACCUUAAAUUUGAGUUUGAAAAUGCAUACACGACCGAAGAAACAUAUAAGCUGCUAAAAUAAAUCUUCCCUAGAACUGUUGUACAAAAAAGAUAGAAGUUCCAGCAACAAAUUUAUCACCAGUUCAACCUUUGAUUUGAUGUAAACAGUAAUUGUUUCUUGAUGAGAAAUGCGAAUGAAAUAGUUUAUGGUGUGAUUGUGUUAGUGUUUUAUUAAUAGUUUUGUUGAUGCAGUUUAAAGGUUCAUAGUUUUUCAUUAAAACAUUUGAAAUUGACAUGUUUACAUGCAGUUUAGUGUGAUACCAUUUUAAUAAACAUUAAAAUCUUUCGAACUAGUAGUGGUUUUAUGGCGAUUGACAGAUUGAAUAACGAAAAUUAAGAGUAUUUUAUCAGGAAUAACUUAAUCAUAAAUGGAAACUGAAGACGAACGUUACCAUUGCACCCUUUGAUCGGUGUUAUCUAUUCCAUAACUUUUUAUAGCUGAAACUAGAGAGUAGGUAUAUUGAGCUGAAACGUUUCCUGUGUUCAAUAGCGUUUUUUCUAGCGUUGAAUUGUAAGUUUUAAUGUCAUUAGCAAAGUUUUGCAAAUUGUCACUGUUUCGUAGACAAUUAAAUUCAAGAUAUAUUAUAUUCAAUGUCACCUAAUAAUUGUAAAGGUUUUUCUAUUGAUAUUCACUUUAUUAAUAUAAGGUAGGUUUGUAAAUAAAAUAUUAAUGAAUAAAUAAUGUACUCAGUUUAUUUCAAAAGCACAAAAAUACAGAGUUGUGAAUAUGUAUAUACGCUGACUUAUUUCAUCAUAUAAAUAUUUAUUUAGCAAUAUUAAUACAUUACAACUUUUGUUUCUAUUAACUAAUUCCACUAAAUUUAAUAAAUAAAAUAUACAAUAUAUAAAUUUAAUAUACAAUUUAGCACUUAGAUAUUAAAUAUCUAUAUGUACUAUGCCAAAAAAUAAAACAGGAACAUCAUAUUAUAUCAAGAACACAAAAAAUUACAAUUUAAAAAAAAUGCAUUCUAAAAAAAUACCUAGCUACAAUAUACCUACAUAUUAAUUUAAAGAGCUUAUUCAUAUUCAUAAAAACUAUUCUAAAUGGUUUAUAUACACAAUCAAAAGUAUCAACCACAAUACAAUAAUUUUCAAAUUAUUUCUUAUUAUUCCUCAA